This 67-nucleotide transfer RNA is filed under the name marine eukaryotic metagenome. It matches the Rfam family "tRNA". Rfam says of the family: Transfer RNA (tRNA) molecules are approximately 80 nucleotides in length. Their secondary structure includes four short double-helical elements and three loops (D, anti-codon, and T loops). Further hydrogen bonds mediate the characteristic L-shaped molecular structure. tRNAs have two regions of fundamental functional importance: the anti-codon, which is responsible for specific mRNA codon recognition, and the 3' end, to which the tRNAs corresponding amino acid is attached (by aminoacyl-tRNA synthetases). tRNAs cope with the degeneracy of the genetic code in two manners: having more than one tRNA (with a specific anti-codon) for a particular amino acid; and 'wobble' base-pairing, i.e. permitting non-standard base-pairing at the 3rd anti-codon position. The record is from RNAcentral.
AGUGUAGCUCAAUUGGCAGAGCGUCGGUCUCCAAAACCGAAGGUUGGGGGUUCGACUCCCUCCACUC